UUGUUGUAGCUCUCCCUAGUA
Molecule: transfer RNA, 21 nt
Filed under: Fissurella bridgesii
Lineage: Eukaryota; Metazoa; Mollusca; Gastropoda; Lepetellida; Fissurellidae
Description: partial tRNA-Leu
Source: RNAcentral